RNAcentral lists this transfer RNA (77 nucleotides) under Novibacillus thermophilus. RNAcentral's name for it is "tRNA-Met". It matches the Rfam family "tRNA". Rfam says of the family: Transfer RNA (tRNA) molecules are approximately 80 nucleotides in length. Their secondary structure includes four short double-helical elements and three loops (D, anti-codon, and T loops). Further hydrogen bonds mediate the characteristic L-shaped molecular structure. tRNAs have two regions of fundamental functional importance: the anti-codon, which is responsible for specific mRNA codon recognition, and the 3' end, to which the tRNAs corresponding amino acid is attached (by aminoacyl-tRNA synthetases). tRNAs cope with the degeneracy of the genetic code in two manners: having more than one tRNA (with a specific anti-codon) for a particular amino acid; and 'wobble' base-pairing, i.e. permitting non-standard base-pairing at the 3rd anti-codon position. The record is from RNAcentral. Lineage: Bacteria; Bacillati; Bacillota; Bacilli; Caryophanales; Thermoactinomycetaceae.
GGGCCUAUAGCUCAGCUGGUUAGAGCGGUCGGCUCAUAACCGAUUGGUCACAGGUUCGAAUCCUGUUAGGCCCACCA